RNAcentral lists this ribosomal RNA (1273 nucleotides) under Salmonella enterica. RNAcentral's name for it is "partial 23S ribosomal RNA". It matches the Rfam family "Bacterial large subunit ribosomal RNA", at positions 983 to 2238 of the family's 2925-position model. Lineage: Bacteria; Pseudomonadati; Pseudomonadota; Gammaproteobacteria; Enterobacterales; Enterobacteriaceae. The record is from RNAcentral.
GACACACGGCGGGUGCUAACGUCCGUCGUGAAGAGGGAAACAACCCAGACCGCCAGCUAAGGUCCCAAAGUCAUGGUUAAGUGGGAAACGAUGUGGGAAGGCCCAGACAGCCAGGAUGUUGGCUUAGAAGCAGCCAUCAUUUAAAGAAAGCGUAAUAGCUCACUGGUCGAGUCGGCCUGCGCGGAAGAUGUAACGGGGCUAAACCAUGCACCGAAGCUGCGGCAGCGACACUCAGGUGUUGUUGGGUAGGGGAGCGUUCUGUAAGCCUGCGAAGGUGGCCUGUGAGGGUUGCUGGAGGUAUCAGAAGUGCGAAUGCUGACAUAAGUAACGAUAAAGCGGGUGAAAAGCCCGCUCGCCGGAAGACCAAGGGUUCCUGUCCAACGUUAAUCGGGGCAGGGUGAGUCGACCCCUAAGGCGAGGCCGAAAGGCGUAGUCGAUGGGAAACGGGUUAAUAUUCCCGUACUUGGUGUUACUGCGAAGGGGGGACGGAGAAGGCUAUGUUGGCCGGGCGACGGUUGUCCCGGUUUAAGCGUGUAGGUGUGUGUUCCAGGUAAAUCCGGUUCACUUUAACACUGAGGCGUGACGACGAGGCACUACGGUGCUGAAGCAACAAAUGCCCUGCUUCCAGGAAAAGCCUCUAAGCAUCAGGUAACAUCAAAUCGUACCCCAAACCGACACAGGUGGUCAGGUAGAGAAUACCAAGGCGCUUGAGAGAACUCGGGUGAAGGAACUAGGCAAAAUGGUGCCGUAACUUCGGGAGAAGGCACGCUGACACGUAGGUGAAGUGAUUUACUCACGGAGCUGAAGUCAGUCGAAGAUACCAGCUGGCUGCAACUGUUUAUUAAAAACACAGCACUGUGCAAACACGAAAGUGGACGUAUACGGUGUGACGCCUGCCCGGUGCCGGAAGGUUAAUUGAUGGGGUCAGCGCAAGCGAAGCUCCUGAUCGAAGCCCCGGUAAACGGCGGCCGUAACUAUAACGGUCCUAAGGUAGCGAAAUUCCUUGUCGGGUAAGUUCCGACCUGCACGAAUGGCGUAAUGAUGGCCAGGCUGUCUCCACCCGAGACUCAGUGAAAUUGAACUCGCUGUGAAGAUGCAGUGUACCCGCGGCAAGACGGAAAGACCCCGUGAACCUUUACUAUAGCUUGACACUGAACAUUGAGCCUUGAUGUGUAGGAUAGGUGGGAGGCUUUGAAGUGUGGACGCCAGUCUGCAUGGAGCCGACCUUGAAAUACCACCCUUUAAUGUUUGAUGUUCUAACGUGGACCCGUGA